RNAcentral lists this ribosomal RNA (529 nucleotides) under uncultured bacterium. RNAcentral describes it as "bacterial SSU rRNA". It matches the Rfam family "Bacterial small subunit ribosomal RNA", at positions 777 to 1304 of the family's 1533-position model. The record is from RNAcentral.
AAUAGAUACCCGGGUAGUCCACGCCGUAAACGAUGAGUGCUAAGUGUUAGGGGGUUUCCACCCCUUAGUGCUGCAGCUAACGCAUUAAGCACUCCGCCUGGGGAGUACGGUCGCAAGACUGAAACUCAAAGGAAUUGACGGGGGCCCGCACAAGCGGUGGAGCAUGUGGUUUAAUUCGAAGCAACGCGAAGAACCUUACCAGGUCUUGACAUCCCGCUGACCGCUAUGGAGACAUAGCCUUCCCUUCGGGGACAGCGGUGACAGGUGGUGCAUGGUUGUCGUCAGCUCGUGUCGUGAGAUGUUGGGUCAAGUCCCGCAACGAGCGCAACCCUUGUCCUUAGUUGCCAUCAUUCAGUUGGGCACUCUAAGGAGACUGCCGUACAAAUACGGAGGAAGGUGGGGAUGACGUCAAAUCAUCAUGCCCCUUAUGACCUGGGCUACACACGUGCUACAAUGGACGGUACAAACGGUCGCGAAGUCGCGAGACGGAGCCAAUACCGAAAAAACCGUUCUCAGUUCGGAUUGCAGG